UAUUUGAGAAAAUCACAUUUUUACCACAUUAAUUAAUCAGUAUUUCACAAAUUACCACCUAACUCUCCUAUUUUACAGUACUACCAAAAACAAUCAAAACUUUUCACCACCACCAUCCCUAUCAUAUGAUGCCACGUGUAAUAGAUAGCUCAUUACUGUUAGUGAGAAUCUACCACGGGAUCCGCGCCUUAUUUGUUGUUGCAUUCUCUUAAAACACGGGUUUCUUUCCUAGCUGAUUCAAAUAACACUUGAUUUUUUCCUUUUUAAAAGAUAUCAAAUCAAAAACACAUCACAAAUACACAAAAUAUACCAUCGUCUUCUUCCUCAAAAAUAGCAUCGUCUUCUUCCUCAAAUUUUUUAUCUCAAAUAUUGUAUCAUCAUGGAAUCUAUUCCAGUGAUGAUACAACACAAAGGGAAAUCGAUUUUACUGUGUAUCCUCUCUGCAUAGUAGUUAUCAGUGAUACUAACCAGAUACAAACAAUUCUUCCAGAUGCAUCAUCAAGUGUUUCAACAGCUAUUUCACAGUCAAAGAUAGAUCAAGAUACCGUAUCGAUACAUGAUUGAUACAUGUCUGAUACAAUCGUCGAAAUAGGUGAAACCAUCUUCAGAUGAUAUCAUAACAGUUCUCGAAAAUGGUAAAGAAUACACAGUCAAUAUGGUCAAGAGAACAUGUACAUGCAAAAAGUUUGAUAUCGAUGAAAUUCCUUGUAAACAUGACGUAGCAUUUCUAGCCGACAAGAAGAUUGAACCUUAUGCGUACUGUUCAAGAUACUAUACAAAUGCAGCUAUGUUAGCGACAUAUUCUGAAACCGUAUAUCCAUUGGAGAAGGAAGAAGAAUGGAUUAUUCCAUAACAUAUCAAGAACAUGAUUGUCUUACCACCCCAACAUAGAACAAGAACUGGAAGGCCUAAAAAGAGUAGGUACACGUCAAAGUGGGAAAAUCCGAAAAAAGGGAAAUGUGGAAAAUGCGGGCAAGCUGGACAUAAUAGGAAAACAUGCCGAAACAUGCCUAAAGCUACCUAGAUUAUCAUUUCUUUCAGUAUUUUUUAUUCUAUUAUAAAUUUCCAAGUAUUAUAUACAAUUCUGAUACAUUAAAGAUUGUUGUA
Molecule: long non-coding RNA, 1107 nt
Organism: Mercurialis annua (annual mercury)
Lineage: Eukaryota; Viridiplantae; Streptophyta; Magnoliopsida; Malpighiales; Euphorbiaceae
Exons: 2
Source: RefSeq, a predicted model, not a curated record